GAGUUUGAUCGUGGCUCAGAGUGAACGCUGGCGGCAGGCCUAACACAUGCAAGUCGAGCGGCAGCACAGCAGUAGCAAUACUGUGGGUGGCGAGCGGCGGACGGGUGAGGAACACAUCGGAAUCUACCCUGUCGUGGGGGACAACGUAGGGAAACUUACGCUAAUACCGCAUACGACCUUUGGGUGAAAGCGGGGACCCGCAAGGGCCCCGCGCGAUUGGAUGAGCCGAUGUCCGAUUAGCUAGUUGGCGGGGUAAUGGCCCACCAAGGCGACGAUCGGUAGCUGGUCUGAGAGGACGACCAGCCACACUGGAACUGAGACACGGUCCAGACUCCUACGGGAGGCAGCAGUGGGGAAUAUUGGACAAUGGGGGCAACCCUGAUCCAGCCAUGCCGCGUGGGUGAAGAAGGCC
RNAcentral lists this ribosomal RNA (412 nucleotides) under uncultured bacterium. RNAcentral describes it as "bacterial SSU rRNA". It matches the Rfam family "Bacterial small subunit ribosomal RNA", at positions 9 to 416 of the family's 1533-position model. The record is from RNAcentral.